This 279-nucleotide ribosomal RNA is filed under the name uncultured bacterium. RNAcentral describes it as "partial 16S ribosomal RNA". It matches the Rfam family "Bacterial small subunit ribosomal RNA", at positions 506 to 784 of the family's 1533-position model. The record is from RNAcentral.
UGCCAGCAGCCGCGGUAAAACGUAGGGGACAAGCGUUGUCCGGAUUUACUGGGCGUAAAGGGCACGCAGGCGGUUUUUUAAGUCAGAUGUGAAAGGUACCGGCUCAACCGGUGACAUGCAUUUGAAACUGAAAGAUUUGAGUAUUGGAGAGGCAAGUGGAAUUCCUAGUGUAGCGGUGAAAUGCGUAGAUAUUAGGAGGAACACCGGUGGCGAAGGCGGCUUGCUGGACAAAUACUGACGCUGAGGUGCGAAAGCGUGGGGAGCAAACAGGAUUAGAUA